Molecule: long non-coding RNA, 603 nt
Filed under: Rhinopithecus bieti (black snub-nosed monkey)
Lineage: Eukaryota; Metazoa; Chordata; Mammalia; Primates; Cercopithecidae
Description: lncRNA (ENSRBIG00000046382.1)
Source: RNAcentral
AGGGGAGUAAGCCUAUUCUCAAGCUAGAACACAGGAGCGUAAGGAACUUCACUAGAUCUGAAGACAGAGACUUAAAUUCCAGAUCUGAAGACAGAGACUUAAAUUCCAGGCAAAAAUGGGAUGAUUUUCAAGUUGACAAAAGUUUUUCAUUCAAAGCCACAACCAGUCCAGUUGCCAGGCCAAGAGGCAGUGGGCCAACCACCCUUCUUAGAGGACUUUCCUCUAACCUCUUCCUGGCCAAGCACAAGUAAACCCAUGUUGAGCAUCUGGUGUUGGUGCACUAUGCAGGCAUCUAUGAGGCAGAGCAAAGACAGGACCUGUGCCCUCAACAGACAUCAUCAGAUACAGAAUACUGUGUAUUAUGGAGAAACAGGAUACGACUAAAUGCACAGGCUUUCGGAAGCACACGGGCCUGGGAUGAAUAUUAGUUUAUUGCUAUCAAUGUUACCCUGAAAUAGCUCACUUCUCUAAGCCUCCUUACGUCUCUCUGAAAUGCAGUAAUAAACCAAUUAACUGCAUGAUUAAUAGAAUUUAAAUGAGAUAAUGGGUAAAACUUUCUCAGUUCAUAGUUGAAUCUGAAGUGUGCUGAAUGUUAGUAUUACC